UUUUUAAUUGAGAUCUUGUAUGAAUGAUUGAACAAAAGAAAAACUGUCUUUAUAUUAAAGUUUGAAUUUAACUUUUAAGUGAAAAGGCUUAAAUAUUCUAAAGGGACGAUAAGACCCUAUAAAACUUUACAUUAAUAAUUAGUAUAUUAUUUAAUUUUUAUUAUAAUAAUUAAAUUUAAUUUCUUUGUUUUGUUGGGGUGACAGAAACUAUAAUUUAUUUUAACUGUUUAGAAGUAAGUCAUAAAUUUAUGAGCAAUUUAUAGAUCCUUUAUAAAGAUUUAAAGAUUAAGUUACUUUAGGGAUAACAGCGUUAUUUUUUUUGAGAGUUCAUAUCGAAAAAAGAGAUUGCGACCUCGAUGUUGAAUUAAAAUUUCUUUAUAAUGCAGGUGUUAUACGAGAGGGUCUGUUCGACCUUUAAUUUUUUAC
Molecule: ribosomal RNA, 426 nt
Filed under: Potamonautes emini
Lineage: Eukaryota; Metazoa; Arthropoda; Malacostraca; Decapoda; Potamonautidae
Description: partial 16S ribosomal RNA
Rfam family: Bacterial large subunit ribosomal RNA (bases 301-426)
Source: RNAcentral